GCGCCGCCGCGCCCCCUCUCGGUUUUUGCCUCCGAUGAGGCUCUUCCCGGCCUCCGUUUGAUGAAAUUUUUAUAUCACCGUGAUCACCAUUCUUUUCUCUACAGGUUGACCGGAGCCGAAUCACCAAAACACGAACCUCGCCGGAGAGCCGCCGCCGCUGGUAAGCUCCGUUUUUCCGUGAUUUUUUGGCCCCCCGAGGGCCAUAGGGUUGUUUUCUCACAGGGACCGAUGCGAGUGUGGCCGAAUUCGGCCGGAAA
This 257-nucleotide long non-coding RNA is filed under the name Carica papaya (papaya). Its description in RNAcentral is "long non-coding RNA (CPAP_LNC014137)". The record is from RNAcentral. Lineage: Eukaryota; Viridiplantae; Streptophyta; Magnoliopsida; Brassicales; Caricaceae.